AAUUGAAAGGAGUAGGUUCAGUAAGACCCCUUUUUGGCCCCAAAAUAUAGCAGUUUUACAAAAUUGUUAAAAUGUAAACCUUUAGUUAUUUAUUGGACAGUAGAAUGCUUCUGCUAAAUAAAUAUGGGCUGUUUUUGACAAUACAAUGCACAUAUAUCCGGUACUAGCACCAUUAAGUCAUGCUAAAUUACUGAAAUCCUCAUAAUUCUAGCAUUUUAGUUAAAUUUUAGACGGUUUUCGUGUAAAACGAAAGUGGCCGCAUUCGUGUUCAUCCUUAAUAUUGAAAUGUAAGUUGUAUUUUAUGAUAAUACAUAACAUAUAUAAAGGUUGAGGAUGAACACGGAUGCGGCCACUUUCAUUUUUACCAAAAACCAUCUGAAAAGUGACAUUUUCCGGCAUAUUAGGUAGAUUUUUCAUAUUUGAGCUUGAAUCGGAUCGUUUUUAAUGACUAAAUCUGUUAAAAUCUUUCACAUAAACUAAUUAAUUUAAAUAAAAUAGACACUUAAGUGUUUAAAAAGUGGUCAAAAUCUUUCGUCAGAUGAACCUGAAAUUUGAGGCCAAAAUCAGUCCUUACCGGACCUACUCCUUUUACAGUGAAAUU
Molecule: long non-coding RNA, 601 nt
Filed under: Mytilus galloprovincialis (Mediterranean mussel)
Lineage: Eukaryota; Metazoa; Mollusca; Bivalvia; Mytilida; Mytilidae
Source: RNAcentral